UUUAAUUCGAAGCAACGCGAAGAACCUUACCAAAUCUUGACAUCCUUUGACAACUCUAGAGAUAGAGCCUUCCCCUUCGGGGGACAAAGUGACAGGUGGUGCAUGGUUGUCGUCAGCUCGUGUCGUGAGAUGUUGGGUUAAGUCCCGCAACGAGCGCAACCCUUAAGCUUAGUUGCCAUCAUUAAGUUGGGCACUCUAAGUUGACUGCCGGUGACAAACCGGAGGAAGGUGGGGAUGACGUCAAAUCAUCAUGCCCCUUAUGAUUUGGGCUACACACGUGC
Molecule: ribosomal RNA, 281 nt
Filed under: Staphylococcus aureus
Lineage: Bacteria; Bacillati; Bacillota; Bacilli; Caryophanales; Staphylococcaceae
Description: partial 16S ribosomal RNA
Rfam family: Bacterial small subunit ribosomal RNA
Source: RNAcentral